RNAcentral lists this ribosomal RNA (497 nucleotides) under uncultured bacterium. RNAcentral's name for it is "partial 16S ribosomal RNA". It matches the Rfam family "Bacterial small subunit ribosomal RNA", at positions 28 to 507 of the family's 1533-position model. The record is from RNAcentral.
GAUGAACGCUGGCGGCGUGCCUAAUACAUGCAAGUCGAGCGGACGGACGCGAAGCUUGCUUUUCUGAUGUUAGCGGAGGACGGGUGAGUCACACGUGGAUAACCUACCUAUAAGACUGGGAUAACUUCGGAAAACCGGAGCUAAUACCGGAUAAUAUUUUGAACCGCGUGGUUCAAAAGUGAAAGACGGUCUUGCGGGCAGUUCUCGAUGGAUCUCGGCUGGUUUGGGUGGUUGGUAGGGUAACGGCUUAUGAAGGGAACGAUGCGUAGCCGACCUGAUAGGGUGAUCGCCCACCCUGGAACUUGGACACCGUCCAUGCGCCUGCGGUAGGCACCAGUAUGGAACCUUCCGCAAUGGUCGGAAACCUGACGGAGCAACGCCGCGUGUGUGAUGAAGGUCUUCCGAUCGUAAAACUCUGUUAUUAGUGAAGAACAUAUGUGUAAGGAACUGUGCACAGCUUGACGGUACCUAGUCAGAAAGCCACGGCUAACUACGUG